RNAcentral lists this ribosomal RNA (238 nucleotides) under uncultured bacterium. Its description in RNAcentral is "partial 16S ribosomal RNA". It matches the Rfam family "Bacterial small subunit ribosomal RNA", at positions 15 to 245 of the family's 1533-position model. The record is from RNAcentral.
GAUCAUGGCUCAGGAUGAACGCUAGCUACAGGCUUAACACAUGCAAGUCGAGGGGCAGCAUCAACUUAGCUUGCUAAGUUUGAUGGCGACCGGCGCACGGGUGAGUAACACGUAUCCAACCUGCCGAUGACUCGGGGAUAGCCUUUCGAAAGAAAGAUUAAUACCCGAUGGCAUAAUUCUUCCGCAUGGUAGAAUUAUUAAAGAAUUUCGGUCAUCGAUGGGGAUGCGUUCCAUUAGG